This 1135-nucleotide long non-coding RNA is filed under the name Apteryx owenii (little spotted kiwi). Its description in RNAcentral is "lncRNA (ENSAOWG00000015327.1)". Lineage: Eukaryota; Metazoa; Chordata; Aves; Apterygiformes; Apterygidae. The record is from RNAcentral.
UGCCCCCCUGGAAUUAGAAAAGUCAAGAGUUCAAAACCAAUUUUUCCUAUUUCAGAGCAGGAGUUGAAUCACUGCUUGGGAGCGUGUCUUAAUGUUGCCAGGUAUUUUUUAAGUGCAUUCUCCUCGAUAUCUUCUGACACAAUUCUGCUUUUACACAGAACGUCUGGAUAUUUUUUUGGAACAUUUAGUGCAAAGUCCUACAUUGUUAAUAACAGAAGUGGAGUAACUCUUAGCAGAAUACCCUGUAGCAUGUGAUGUGGGCAUUGACAUGAGAGCAUUGACAAGUGUCUUCAUCACUCUCUUGAAAAGAGGAAGACCCACAAGAUAAUGGAAUCAUCUUACUAGCUGAGAAGACAGCCAGAAUUUUUUGUCAAAACUUCAUCUUUCUCCCACUCCUUUUCCCUGGCCAUCUGGGCUUUUCAGAGAACAAGAAAUGACAAGUGCCUUCUGUAUCUGCAAGUUUAAACACUCUCUGCUGAAGGAAACAAGUGCUUUCCACGUAUUCAUAAAAACGCAAAUAAGCAAGAGUCCUGCAGUAACUGAAGUCUGCUAGCACUUUAGGGAAAAUCCAAUAUGCUAAAAAUCACAGGUAGUUUUGGCCAGAAUAUGAUGGUAUGAACAGAAUCAGUGCUAUGGCCAUCUUUAAAAGGAAACUGAAAUGGAGUAUAUCUUGCAGCUGAACUCAAGACCUAAUUCUGCCAGUUCCACUGAGCACUAUGGAGCUGAAAAGCUUAGAAUUGCUACACCUGUGCCUGGCUCUAUAUUUACAUCGGCAUUUAAUCUCACUUUCACUGAAAUCAGCGACUUUCUGCUCUGUUUUAGGCAUUCACUGGGUGUCAAGAUGCAUACAACUGGAAGAGAGAGAAAAGUACUGAUUUAAAAUUGAAGCAUAAAAUGUUUGGUUGAUGCAUUUUUUAAAAAGUUACUUAAGAACAUAAGGUAUUGUAAAGUAUUGCUAAAAGGGCAUAUGUAUUAGCUCAACCACUGUGAAAUGCCAAAAGCCUGGGUUUGUGACUCUAAGAUGCUGUAAACAAACAUGGUGGUAGAUGACACUUUCAAAGCCUCUAAGCAAAAUUCAGUGAAACUAAAACUCAGGCACUUCUGUAUUUAUUACUUACUUUCAACGUAUUUAAAA